AGCAAUCAAAUCAAUUAUUUGUUUGCAAACAAACAAGCUACUGAUCAUGCAUGUUUGCUGGGUCAGAAAUUCUUUUAUAACUCAAUUCUCAAUAAUCCCAAACAACUAUUUAUCAAUUAUGCAAGUCAAGCGGAUGCUGUCACUGAAUCUUGCUCUUUUUUUGGGUGCAGGUAAUGGAGAACUGUACAACAUGAACGUGCAGGACUAAAUACUGGUAUCUUGAUUUUUACGAUAAACGUUUACCCCUUGUAUAUUUUGUUAUAUAAAAUAUAGGAUUAUAUACUGUAAACUGUAGUUAAUGAUAAAAUUCUCUAUCUCUAAUUCCUUGGUAUCAUCAAAUGCAAUCUCACUUCGAUUACAUAUUCCCAAAACUGACUUUUUGCAGACCCAAUUUCCCCAAGAUACGCAGGAGCAACUUGUAUGAUGGAAAACUAAACCACCCCAUGGUAGAAAACUUAGAAGGAAAGUCUAAAUUGAAAGGAAAGAGGAGUGGCAAAUGAAUCUACUGUUUCUUUGAACUGAUUACAACGAUUCAUGUUUGUGUGAUUCACAAAGUAAGAAAGCCAGAAUCACAUCGUGCGUGCAACUCAUCUUAAUAAUUCUCCACUCCUCUUAAUAAUGGUAUAGCUAGUGAAACAUUUUAUUUGUUAUUUUUUCAAUUUCAAUCCUCACAUGGAACAUGACCUAUAAAUUGUAGGAUGGAUAAAAUUAAGAAAUGGAGUUGAAUUUUCAAAAGUUUGUGAUUUGGAAUUUGGAAGGCAUGCAGUGCCAUGCUGGAGGGCAACUUGCUAAUGCUUUUUUUGAUAUUGACAUCACUACGGUUCCUUCUUGGCUCAUUUUAUAUCCCUUAGUGUGGGUUCUAGCUAGUCCCCUCUAGGGUAAGGGAGAUAUUUGUAUGAAAUUAGGUGUAACUCUAUCGUCACGUAUAUCAUAGAUAUAGACAAAAAUCUAUACAGUCCAUUUCAUUUAAGUUUUAGCUAGAGAUAAAGUCAAAAAUAUUUUAGAAUAAAAUGUGUCCAAAGCGCAAAGCUAGCUAGCGUAUUAAAUCACUUCACAUGUAUUGCUAAAAAUUCUAAUUUGCCUCACCAACACAGUUACCCAUGCCACAAAAUGGCUACAUAUAUAAUCAAAGAAAGUUGAUGGAAGGAAAUCAACAAUUAAACAAACAAACUUACCUGUUACAGUGAGAUGAAUUAAAACCAGGUCCUGAUUGGCAGAUUCCCUUCCAUGAAUUUGGUACGGGCCCCAUUCCUUCAUCCCUAAAGCUCUUUGAUUCUGGCCAGACACCUGAUCAUAAAAUCAACAAACAUCAUCAUCGCAUGCAUCCAAUCAUUCCCCUUCCCUCCACCCAAUAGAGAAUCUAACCUACGACGGGGAUAUCUCUUCACUUCCACAACAAUUUGAUAACUUGGUGCACAACUACAAAAUUAUCUAUUGCUAGCGUCCAAAAAACGGACAAAAAACAUAUAUUACUAUCGAAUAUUAUGCAAAAACCGACAAGAAACACCAUAUAUUUUCUCUCAAUCCUGACACUCACAUAGUGUUGAAGACACAGAAAAACAUACUAUUUGGCACAACAAGUUUUCUCCAUUAAACACAAAGUGAUAUAAUAAUACUGGUGACACAACAUAUCUCCUCAUAGAAUGAGUGCUCUAGUCAUAAAAAGAUAUGAUAUACCACCAAUAAUACAUGCAUGCAUCAGAUUUUUACCACCCCCAGACACACAAACACAAGGAAUCACAUGUGAAACAGUUCAAUGGACAGACAAACUAAUAUAUGAAGUUGUUUGAUAAAAUUGAUGUAUUCUUAAUCUUACCACUAUCAAGAAGCCCAACUAUGAUGUCCUUGCCAAAUCUGGCUUUGGAUAAGAAGUCUCCUCCCAUCUUGCUGUCUAUCCAGUGCCUCUGUUCCUCUUCUAGUAUGCCUGAAAACUCCCAAGACCUUGUGGUGUGCAUAGAGUACUUUUUUGGGUGGCUAGCCCACACAGACACAACUUCUUCCAACUCUGCAGUUACCAUUUAAUUUCUGUAGCAUUACACACACAGAGAGAGAGAGAGAGAGAGAGAGAGAGAGAGAGGAUGUGAUUGGUUUGGUUAAUUACCAGAUAGCUUGGAAGCUUCGUCCUGAGUGAGGACUGCUGCAAAGCCAUUGAUGCUGUGCUUGUAACUGUAAAGCAAAGAAGCUCUGGCAUCUUCUCCUGUUUCUUUCACAGAGAGCAAAUACGAGUGAUGGAUGUCCUCAAUUUCAUGCAGUGCUUUCUCUCCCCUGUGUUCUCCAAAAUACACUAUAUAGACCUAUAGAUACAUACAAACAUGUAUAUAAGUACAAAUACAUGUGUCAUAUAUACAAGAAAAGAUACAUGAAAUGAAAGAAAAAAUAGGUUUAUCAUAGCCAAAAGGAAUGACCUUUUUUGGUUCUGCACAUGAGGCUAAGAGAGGAAGAAGGAGGAGAGAGAGGAUGAAAAUUUUCUCCAUUGGUUUUGUGCUGAGGAGUUUAGUGGAUACAAAUUUUGAACCGAUUAACAGUGUUUAUAUAGAAGUUUAAGAUACAAAUUGAAUCAAAUUCUUCUUUAUUUCUUAUAUGUCAAAAGGUCCCUCCUCGAUUUUAGAGUAGGAACCUAAAUACACGGUAAAAUAUGAUAUCUGAUAUAUGAAAUUUGGUGUGCAGAUGGAUACGCAGUGGACUCUUUUAGACAAUUAAAUUGCUAUUUUUUUUUUUCAGUUAUAUUGAUUUUUUUAUUUAUUUAGUUACAGUUGAUUUUUUUUAAUUUACUUAUUUUGGUUGAGUGAUAAAAAAAGUCAUCAAAGCUUAAUUUGGAUUUUACUAGUAUAUGGACCCACACAUAAAGUGUGUAAAAAUUUUUACUUUUGUUUUUAAAAUUGAAGGAGAGAGGAAGAGAAUAAGAACAAGAAUAUAUUUUUGCAUUCCAUUUUGAUUGACAAAAAGAAUUUCAUUAAUAUGUAUUCAGAUUAUCCUUAAUUUUGUUUAACUUGAUAUGUUUUUUUGAACGUACUGCUCUCAUUAUCUUAUUUAUCCUGCUCCCUUUUUCACCUCUCUUCUCUGUAUAUACUUCCUUAAAUUUUCCUCUUGAUUUAUUUUAAAAUAAAAUAACAAAUAUCUUACCAAUCUGAUAGUUAAUAUCCGUAAGUACAUUGAUAAUUAAAAAGCAUCACGUGGAAACAAAAAAAAUAUUAUUCAACUACUGAAUUCAAUAUAAGAUAAUUACACUAACAUUUUCUACAUUUAUCACCUCAUGUUUAAGAAAUGGAGUAGGAUUCUCUCUCUCUAAAUCUCAUCUCCAUCACUCCCCUUCUCUCUCACUUUGAAAAAAGAAGUAACACUAACACUUCCUAAAGUUUUAAUUCACUUUCACAUCAUUCAUUUAAGAAUGAAUUUACCCAUGUAUUUAACUACUUAAAUAAUAAACAAAAUAUGGCAAGUCAGAUUAAUGGUCCUUGUGGUAAUAGGCUAUUCGCAAGAUUAUCCAUAUGGUAGAAUAAUUAAGAUUUAAACCCUUAUAGUGAAAAACAUUAACAAAUUUAAUCGAAGUGAGAUUUCCAUCAAAUCUUCGUUAGAUGCAAGGAUAAAAAUGUCCAGCCACACUCAUUUUUGUGUUUACCUUUGUCUUUUACUACUUCAUCUCUCUCUCAUAAAUUGAAACACUCUGUCUUCAUGUUCGUGAUCUAAAUUCCUGAGAUUGAAUCCUUCCCUUCCUUUCUUAUCCAUCCUUCACCUUCAUCAUCCCCAGUUUUCACAACUCAUUUCACCUUAGUCCAGAAAUUCAAAUUCACUAUUCAGAUUUAUUACAGAUUCACAAUUCAAAAUCAUAUAACUUCAAAUUCCAUUCUUUUCAAAAUGUGCUCGCACCCUUCACCUGCUCCAUCAGAUUAAUUUCAGUACCGAAGUCAAUUAGAUUUAAUCUGCAUUCGUAAAAAUUAAUCACAGCAAUCUGAAUAAAGUUUUACUUGAAGAUAAUAUUCAUAUGUUCUAGAGUCAUAUGUGUCACACUUCCUGCACUUCUGAUCGCUGGUGAAGCGCAAAUAAUUGUGUCUCAAAUUUCUUUCCCUUGUUCUUUGUUUUUGCAGUUAUUGGGUCACAUAUUUCUUCAUUCUUUUAUGUGUUUGCAUGGAAAAAAAAUCAUCCCAAGCAAAUAUGCCAUUAAUUUGUUAAAAAACAAAGAAGAAUAUUUCAAUCAUUAAAUGAUUUCUUCUUUACAAACGAUAGCGUUAGUGAAUUAAAUAAUUAGUUGUUAGGAGAAAAAAUAAUUGGUGGGAAUCAAACCCGCACUAUAGUACAUAAACUUGAUUGCUUUCGAUGGAAAACGCCCUUGCGAAUCAUUAAAUGAUGAAAAAGACAAAAGAAAAACACCUGCAAUUGAAGAUUUAUUGUUUUUGCAUAUGGACAUAUUAACUGUUCAUGAUGUCAGUGUUGAGCUUAAUAUGCCCAACUAUAGCAAUCAUAAUCGAUAGGAAAAGAAUAUUGUCUUCGUGGGUCCAAAUAAUAUCAAGCAAAAUAAGUAUUGUUCAUUUCACCAAAGUAAGAAGUGGCAACUCACCAAGUAGAGUGCUUAGGCCCUGGGGGCAGUUCCACAUAUGGUUAAGGGUGGGGUUGGAUACAUGGAAGAGAGUGGGGAUUGAUUGGGAUAUCAUUUGUAUUUUGUGCACAAGUCUAAAUUAGUACUAACGUAUUUGUGGGCUUAAGGGGGAUCCCGAUUUCAAACGCAUGACGUAAGGGCAUAACUAAUCGUCAAUUUUCCUGGUUUUUGGUUCAACCUAUAAGUAACUGUUUAUAUCACAACAUUGUCCACCUUCUGUUGGCCCAUGCUUACAACUGUAUAUCCCAUUUGCAAAUACAAAUUUAUUCUCCCAUGCCUCAUGUUUCUUCUUACCACCACACAUUGUCUUUGAACUUUUUUUUCCAAAAUUUUCAACACAUAUAGGGCCUUUUGAUUUGUGUGUAUAUAUGCUGCAAGUGCAAGACUUCUAAUUUCACUCCUCUUGAAAUUAUUUAAGUAUUUAAGGGAUUGUGGGCAAGAAUGCGUGCAUGCAUGAGAAAGACGCGGUACGUCCAUUUCACGAAUGUCAAAUGGUGGGCUGCUCUACUAUGGGAUUGUGGUCCUUAAUCUAAUCAAUCAGAAUUUUUCUUAGUUCAUUUAAAGUUAAUUACCCAAUGAGCUGUAUCAUUAAUUAUCUUUAAUAGUUUCUAAUUUACUCUAGCAUACAACAAAAUGGAUUCAAAUUGGAUAAGAAAGCAGAAACAUAGCCCUAAUUAAGUGGCUUAACCCAUAUCUGAAUGGUUGAUGCUAGAUGAAAAAGCCGUAAAGUUGCUAAUUGCUAAUUAACCAUAAAUAUACAAUGAAAAAUAACAAUAACAAUACCAUGCAAUCUGAAUCUCAUUCACUUGAGCAGUAGAUAUAAAGUUAGGCUUGUAUACAAUCAACUUCAUCAGGAACCCUCAGCCAUCUCUUUUAAGAGAAUGACAACGUCGUCUGAUGUAAUCUUCCCGUGAGCAGGGACACCUCCUGUAUAGGCUUAUGAACCCAACUGCAUCCCAACUAUCGUGGGAUCGUCAAAGCCUAAAAAAUCUCCACGUUUGUCAGUUGUUAAACCACAACUGAAGCACGCAUUUAGUGUCCUACAAAUAAGGGAUUUUAUCCUUUAAAUGGUUUUGACUUUAAUUAAUUAAUUCCACGUUAGUCCUUAUUAUGCUCAGUGACAAUUCAAUAGAGUCCUAACAUAUAGAACUUAGGACUUGCAGUGCACUAUGUUUGUAUGUGACCCCACCACCAACAUUGCUCAAUUUCUAAGUGAAUUGGUAUUUUGUGAGUUUACUAUAAUUAGAGUCCAAAAGACUUCUUCUUUCUUGAUUUAAUGCAUGAAAUAAGAUUUUUUUAAUUUUAUUUUAUGCAAAUUGGAUUGGAAAUUUCGAUCAGACUGGAAAAAUUCAGUUUUGAAUCCAUAACAUCUCCAAUCAGAAUAUUUAUAGAAAUUGAAAUGUAUUUUAAAAAUUCGAAAAUUUUCAAAAUAUAAUCCAAUUUUAUACGAAAUUUGCCAAACUAAUAGGAUCUCAAUUUUUUGAGACACUCCCUCUAUGGCAACCCGGCGUAUUCAUUUCAUGUAAGUCUCGUUUGAAAAACAUACUCGUCACCGGCAAUAAUUUGAAUGAAUUGAUUACACUCUCUUUGCAUGCCAAGCAGUGUUAAGGCCGCACAUAAUACUAUUGGGCAAGCAAAUAAAGCCCAAUAGCUUAAAGUUUCUUUUGUGCUCAUCACCAGCCCACAAACCUUCCCUUCAAAUUGGACUUCGGUCCCCCACGUCACCAACAUGGGACCCACCCUUCGCUCGGUGAAAACGAAGAAAAUUUUAAUUGUGACGGAAACACAAGUGGUACACCACGUGUUUUAAUAUGAAUGGUGAGAAAUUGUAUUUUUUAAGAUAUUAACUUUUUAGCACACAUAUCUCAAAAUUUGUUUAGUGACAAGUAAUGUACCAUCCCGUAUACCGAUCAUAUUGAAAAAUCUCUUUUGAAAGGAGAAAAGAUCUUCUUUGAAUCUCUUCGUCUUAAUUCUUAUUACGCACAAAUUCAAACUUUUGAAAUUUAAUUCAACUGCUAAAAACAAAAUUCUCAUUAAAAAUUAUAAUAAUUUUAACGUUGAAUCAAAUUUUAGGAGACAG
This 6674-nucleotide long non-coding RNA is filed under the name Malus domestica (apple). RNAcentral describes it as "long non-coding RNA (MDOM_LNC018198)". The record is from RNAcentral. Lineage: Eukaryota; Viridiplantae; Streptophyta; Magnoliopsida; Rosales; Rosaceae.